Molecule: long non-coding RNA, 1019 nt
Organism: Bactrocera oleae (olive fruit fly)
Lineage: Eukaryota; Metazoa; Arthropoda; Insecta; Diptera; Tephritidae
Source: RefSeq, a predicted model, not a curated record
UUUCUUUCUUUCGUUUGUAUGAUUUUAUUAAACACUUCAAUUGCUUUAAUAUUUACAAAUGUAUACAAAUUUUUGGAAAUCGACUGAAGUGAAAAUUUAAAGCGUGAAAAACGAUGCACAAUGGCCAAAGGUAAAGCAACUACAACGGCGUCAACGGGAGAACUCGAACGUCCGCUUAUUUACUUAGCCAAUUGGUUUUGGACCGUCUGAUUUUUCCCACUUGCACUAAACAAUUGAAAAUGCUGGCAGCGAAAAUCGAAUGAAAAACCAACGGCUUCAAAGCAGAGGCGGCGAAGCUACGGCAAAAAUAUAAAAUAAUAACAAAGGGAAAUAGCAAUGACAGAAAAAGCGAACGGGCAUAGAAAGGAAAAAACAAUAAGCAGCACUGCCAGAUGCAAGUUUCUUUGAAAACGAAUGGAAAUACGAAUAGAAACUGUCAAGCAGCCAUAUUGUAUGUCAAUCGGCCAUCUUUAAUAAUUUUUAAAUUGCGAAAGUUUCGUUGUACUUACAUACUUAUAUGUGCAUUCAUUCAUUUAUUCAUUCAUUCAUUCAUUUAUGGCGCUGAAGCUGCAACUGUUGAACAUUCUUUUGACUGCGGCAAUGAACAACUUACCAUUUCCAUUAUACAAAAAAUUAAAUUCUUGAGGCCAUUAAUUGUUUAGCUGCUAAACUCAAUUUGCUCUUCGCCAACUUGUUUGCUUGCAAUUGCAAUAUUUUAUUGUUAUUGUUGUUAUUAUUAUAUAAUUUACAUUGGUAAGUACACACACACAUACAAUUAAAAUGUAUAUUCAAAUGUUAGCCAAUUAUAGCCAGAAAAUGAGCAACAUUUUGCCAUUCAAGUUACACAAUCGAUAGGAAUGUCUCAUCUCUAUGCUAAGCAUGUCCAAAGUCAUUAUCGAUUGCAUGCAACUCUUUUCAAAACUUUUGAAGCUCACUAAAGCUGCUUUUGUAGGGCCGGCCAUAUUUCUAUAUAUGUAUACAUAAUAUAUCAUUUUUAUUUUAUAUAUAUAUAUUUUUUU